This 252-nucleotide ribosomal RNA is filed under the name uncultured bacterium. RNAcentral describes it as "partial 16S ribosomal RNA". It matches the Rfam family "Bacterial small subunit ribosomal RNA", at positions 524 to 776 of the family's 1533-position model. The record is from RNAcentral.
UACGUAGGUCCCGAGCGUUGUCCGGAUUUAUUGGGUUUAAAGGGUGCGCAGGCGGCACGGCAAGCCGGCGGUCAAAUCGCGGGGCUCAACCCCGCCCAGCCGUCGGAACUGCCGGGCUAGAGUGGGCGAGAAGUGCGCGGAAUGCGUGGUGUAGCGGUGAAAUGCAUAGAUAUCACGCAGAACUCCGAUUGCGAAGGCAGCGCACCGGCGCCCUACUGACGCUCAGGCACGAAAGCGUGGGUAUCGAACAGG